GCAGUAGCCGCGGUAAUACAGAGGGUGCGAGCGUUAAUCGGAUUUACUGGGCGUAAAGCGUGCGUAGGCGGCUUUUUAAGUCGGAUGUGAAAUCCCUGAGCUUAACUUAGGAAUUGCAUUCGAUACUGGGAAGCUAGAGUAUGGGAGAGGAUGGUAGAAUUCCAGGUGUAGCGGUGAAAUGCGUAGAGAUCUGGAGGAAUACCGAUGGCGAAGGCAGCCAUCUGGCCUAAUACUGACGCUGAGGUACGAAAGCAUGGGGAGCAAACAGGAUUAGAGACCCGCGUAGUCCCUGUCUCUUAUAA
This 302-nucleotide ribosomal RNA is filed under the name uncultured bacterium. RNAcentral describes it as "partial 16S ribosomal RNA". It matches the Rfam family "Bacterial small subunit ribosomal RNA", at positions 508 to 809 of the family's 1533-position model. The record is from RNAcentral.